GACGAACGCUGGCGGCGUGCUUAACACAUGCAAGUCGAACGGUAAGGCCCCUUCGGGGGUACACGAGUGGCGAACGGGUGAGUAACACGUGAGCAACCUGCCCUUGACUCUGGAAUAACAGUUGGAAACAGCUGCUAAUACUGGAUAUUCAUCGUCUCCUUCCUGGGGGGUGGUGGAAAGCUCCGGCGGUCGGGGAUGGGCUCGCGGCCUAUCAGCUUGUUGGUGAGGUAAUGGCUCACCAAGGCUUCGACGGGUAGCCGGCCUGAGAGGGCGACCGGCCACACGGGGACUGAGAUACGGCCCAGACUCCUACGGGAGGCAGCAGUGGGGAAUAUUGCACAAUGGGCGCAAGCCUGAUGCAGCAACGCCGCGUGCGGGAUGACGGCCUUCGGGUUGUAAACCGCUUUCAGUAGGGACGAAGGGUGACUGACGGUACCUACAGAAGAAGGACCGGCUAACUACGUG
Molecule: ribosomal RNA, 465 nt
Filed under: uncultured bacterium
Lineage: Bacteria
Description: partial 16S ribosomal RNA
Rfam family: Bacterial small subunit ribosomal RNA
Source: RNAcentral